Molecule: long non-coding RNA, 211 nt
Organism: Thamnophis elegans (Western terrestrial garter snake)
Lineage: Eukaryota; Metazoa; Chordata; Lepidosauria; Squamata; Natricidae
Exons: 3
Source: RefSeq, a predicted model, not a curated record
UGCUGAUCCUCUUUCUCUUCCAAUUGCAGGUCCCGGCUAAGCCCUUGUUAGCAAUGGGAGCCGUGCUGUUGUCCUCGAAGGUCUGGGAUAAGGCCUUGUUAGCAAUGGAAGCACUUGUGUCUGACAUGCCGGAGCCCUUGAAGUUCCUGCUUAAGGCCUUUUUACCAGUGUAAGCAGCUGUGUCUGCCGUGCUGGGACCCUUGAAGGUAUG